AUUGAACGCUGGCGGCAGGCCUAACACAUGCAAGUCGAACGAGUGGCGGACGGGUGAGUAAUGUCGGGGAAACUGCCCGAUGGCGGGGGAUAACUACUGGAAACGGUAGCUAAUACCGCAUACCAACGGAUGUGCCCGGAUGGGAUGAGCUAGUAGGUGGGGUAACGGCUAAACUAGGCGACGAUCCCUAGCUGGGCUGAGAGGAUGACCAGCCACACUGGAACUGUGACACGGUCCAGACUCCUACGGUAGGCAGAAGUGGGUAAUAUUGCACAAUGGGCGCAAGCCCGAUGCAGCAAUGCCGCGUGUAUGAAGAAGGCCUUCGGGUUGUAAAGUACUUUCAGCGAGGAGGCGUUACUCGCAGAAGAAGCACCGGCUAACUACGUGCCAGCCGCCGCGGUAAUUC
This 406-nucleotide ribosomal RNA is filed under the name uncultured bacterium. RNAcentral's name for it is "partial 16S ribosomal RNA". It matches the Rfam family "Bacterial small subunit ribosomal RNA", at positions 30 to 526 of the family's 1533-position model. The record is from RNAcentral.